Molecule: long non-coding RNA, 4966 nt
Organism: Dermacentor andersoni
Lineage: Eukaryota; Metazoa; Arthropoda; Arachnida; Ixodida; Ixodidae
Source: RefSeq, a predicted model, not a curated record
CACAUUCUCGGCGCUGUGUAUGUGAACUCGUCUCGUCCUUGUCCUUUGCGCUGUUGUAAAAGAAUUUCUUUAAGUCUUGUUUUACAUGCAGAGUGACCCACCGGUGGGACACGCGGCUAUGCCUCUUUCUUUUACUCCAAAGAGAUGGUGCUGCUAUCUUUGCGGCUGCUGUUUGGCACAUUUAUUUGAAAGAUGCUACAAACUUAUACUGAACUACAAAGUGCUUGCCAGCAGAAAAGACAAGAAGUCAGUUCCAGUGACAGAAAUAUUUAUUAGUUAGACAAAAGGUAAAAUUUAGUAGGAACAUUAACCAUGUUUUGAAGUUUUCAUCCUACUCAUGAAGUGGAAGCUAGCUUACUUCUCAGCUUACUUGUGCUUAGAAUUAAAGCACAACAAGCAGAUGAAUGGCUUGCCAGAGCAUUAUCCACAGAAAGUGGUCACUUUUCUCGCUCUCACCCUAGUGUUGUUUGGACUGCUGCUGGUACUGUUGGCUGCAUAGCAGCCAGUGCAGUGCCACUGAGUCACGUGCCGAUGUGCCAGUUUUUUUGUGCAUGUGGGCACUCCUUCUCCCACAAGUUUCUUCGACAUUGUCUUAAUGAGUGUCGAACAGUGAAUGAGCCAGUUCUUGAAAUUUUAUAAUUGGCGUAGAGCUUCCUUCAAGCAGGCCACGAAUGUACCACACAUUUAUGAUGGCACUUUUAACAGCCAACUCAACAGCUACCUUUCUGUACCACUUGAGUCCUUUUCUAAGGCAGUUGUGGUAUGAAGCCAUUUGGUCGCUAUAGUCGACGCCUUUUUUUGCUGCUUUAUAAUCGAGAACGGCCUGAUAUUUCGUGAUUGGUGUGCCGUCCCUUGUUUUCUUCCCGCUGUCCACCAAUGUUGCUCUAUAUUUGGCGACAGAUGUGAGUAUUAGAACGGGCCCGGGCCUUUUGUCUAUCUACUUCAGUACCUUCACUCUAUCUUUGGACUGAAGUCUGGUCACACUGUCUUUCGCAACCUUUACUUCAGGGACAUCUUUUGACAGCCCUUUCCUUGCUGAGCGAACUGUGCUGCAAAUGAAAGUGUCUUCCUUUAGAAGGUGAAGAGUGAGCAGCAAGCUCAUGUAGAAGUUUACGUAUAGUGGGCACCCGACUCCCUUGUUUUUUGCAUGAGUUUCAAACAUACAUCUUCGGCGUUUCCAACACCAACUUGUCAGUCACACUUUCCAGCAUAUGCAUCAACCUUUAGCGUGUAAUCGUCUUUUGUACAUGCUUUGAAGAGCCUGACUCUGUACUUGCUUUUUGUGGAAUGUACUGUCUGAACGAAAGUUGGCCACGCCUUGGCACUAUUGUUUCAUCUAUCACGACUUCCUUUCCCAGCUCAAGCACAGGGGCAAAAAUUUUCGUUCAAUUUCUCUACCAGAGGCCGAAUCUUAGAUAUGAUCCUGCAAGUCUGCAACCAGUUCAUUGUCCGCAAAAUGCCAGAACCUCAAAACUAGGAAAAAAGCAGUCAUGGCUCAUGUUUUGACGAAUGAGUUCAACACCAAAUAGGUCACUUUUUGCCCGUAGUGACUCGGAGUAGGAAGACAGGCGAGCCCAAUACAAAUCUGUAUUCCAACAAAUGCUUUCUUUUCUUGGACAUUGGUUUCCAUGCAAUUCUUCAACUGUGAUUUAGACUUUGGAGUAGGAAGACGGAGGAGACCAAUACAAAGCAGUAUUUGAAUAAAUGCUUUCAUUUCUUGGACACUGGUUUCCGUCCAAUUCUUCAACCAUGAUUUAGAUUUGGAAGUAGUUGACUCCAACACUUGUGUGAACCUGUUUGUUUCAUUGACCAUCAUUUGCCAGAUAUCAUUCGUAACAAACAGCGAGUAUAAAGACAGGGCAUCAUGGCUAGAUGACAACUAAUUAUAGUGGGCGGCCUAGAGUACGGCAUCACACUAGGCGAAGUGGUUGUUGCUGGUGUCCAUUUCUAUAGAAAUGGGCCGAGAGAAAUUAGAGUAUCGUAGCCUGAUUCAUCCGCCUCGUAAUCAUCAGUCAGGUCCUACUCUCCAUUCGACAUGCUGGCUGAGGUCUGUGACAGUUCGUAAAUACUGUCCUUGUCACUGCUUUCACUGUCUGUCCACUGCUGAACAUCUGACACUGAAGCACUUGACUCAUCAGCUGGUGAUCGCGAAGUUGCUGGUGCAUUCUUCCGGCCAAAACUAAGUUUAUUGUAUUUGUUUCCUCUGCAUUGUGCUUUUUUUGCAUCCGUAAAAAGCAUGAGCAUCUAUUAGACAUGCUGAAAAGUUUGGGAGUAGCAAGAAAAAUGCAGAGACUGCAGAUAAUGCAGGCACGUAUUUCAAGAACUGCAGCGAAAAGUUUGCAAGCAACCCAACUGAGAAAUGUGCUGCCACUGCACUCUUCGAAAAAAACGUGCCACAUGAUGUCAAAUGCAAUAAAAAGGUAUAUUAGUUGCAAUUUCGAACCUCCAACAGCAACUGAACUGAACUGAAUACAAGCGGGAGAAUUCUUGCGUGUGGGUCAUUGGUGGGUCAUGCUGCACACAGCGCAAAAACGUUUUCAUUCAGUACAUCGUGGAUCGCUGGUGGGUCAUAGCAUUUAACAUCAGGCGAGUAUUCUACUGGCUAUUUAUAACCUCACACAACGAAAAACAUGCAUACCUCUGCAUUCAAGUGUCAUAAAGUUAUCGCAGCAGCAAGCAGAUGAAUGCCCGCAAAUUUGCUGCCGCAUAGAAAGAGCACAGGCUGUGAUCUACCAGUGACCCACAAUGCAGUUAAAAUGUUAAUUAAAGCUACCUUAAUUAACUGUGCCUUAACCAAAUUUGCUCUAAUUAACACCAAAGAUUGUGGGUUUGAGUGCCUUAAUUAACCCUAUAUUAAUUAACUGUACCUUUCUUUUUUGCAUGAUUGGUGCCAUCGAUGUGGAAGAAGACGACAAACGCGCGAGCAGUAGCACGAGCGCUCUGAUUUUCUGUACGUCACAAAGCAACCUUGAAAUAUAGAGAUCUAAGGCUUUCGCCUCAAAGGGCCCCUCAUCAGUUCACCACAUUUUGAGUUGACAAGUGCACUGCAUACUAUGCGCGCUUACGAUCGUGUCUAAGUAUUGUAUCCCUAUGUGCCGCAGAAAGAGCUUAAAUUUCAAACCAAAUUGCCUUCUCCUCAUGGGGGCCACGCUGACAGCCGGACAGUUGACGUCAGUCGCACAAGUGCGCCUACGUACAUGGCAGUGCUGUGAUGUCACUCACAGUGACACGUGACUUAGAUAAUUAUUCAAGGCAGCAUCAGUUAUUUGUUGAAUCUGUUGCUUCAGUGAACCAAGUUUAGAGAAAUAAUGAAACAUACGAACCAAAUGUGUGGGUCAUGGAGGAAGGCAACUGAGAAGCCCUACCCCCUUCGCGCGCUAUGAGAAAAUUGUGGAGGAAAUGACGAAGUAGGUUCUCCUUUUUUUUUUGCACUUCUUUUAUUUCUUUGCCGUAGCAGCCACGCCUUUCGGGCCACAAUGGCGGCUUUGUUAUGGUUCUGUACGCUCACACGUGUUGCUCCGUAGGUUUUGUACCGCGGCAAAGGCGCCGUGCAGGCAGGUUUGUGUUGGUCUCCGUGUUUUGUUGCGCUGCGUUAUCUGGACCGUGCUCUCCCGGAUGUUGCUGGAGCCAGGUGAGACAGGAGGAACUAAAGUUCACGAAAUUAACAUGCAUUCAACGCUGUACGCAAUGUAGUGUGUCAGGACAAUGACAACGGACAGUUGACAGUCGGCGGAAAAUUUUGCCCUCUUUGGCGGAAAUUUGCUAACGUGCCAUCGCAGGCCGAAACCGAUGCGUUUCAGAAUCUGUACAAUGAACGCCUUGCAGGUCAGUGAUUCCUGCUUUUGACAGCGCAUAUGGUGCAUUUGCGGCACGUAGACAUACGUUAUGAAUGCAUAGUUCGUGUUCAGCAACAACUUGCUUUUGUGCAUAUUAAAACACAUGUUGCUUAACUGUUGCUUGUUCCUCGCAGUACUCGCGACAGCACGCAUUCGAGGUUCAGGCACACCUGCGCAGGUGUACCUCAAUACACGCGCUGAUAGAGCUUUACGCAGAACAUGUGCAUUAAUUUUGCUGCCCUUGGCACCGUGCGCCUGCCAGCAAUGUAGUGAGAAACUCUGUUAUGCUGCAGGCUGAAGCUUCAUCCUGGAAGAUGGGAAAGAAGCGGCUGCUUUUACUUAAGGAACGAAUCCCCCCUACUGCAGGCGUAUCUUAAUUAUAUGUGCGCGCGAGAAGCGUAGGGAAGUCGAGGUUAGCGGAUGCGCUAGCUGCAAGAGUCGGCAAUUGGCUCCACAGAACGUACACCUGCGAACACAUCAAACAGCUUCCAUGGUCGCAUGUAGGCCGGUUCUACGUGCAUACUGUUCUGCACCGUGCGCCGGCUAUCGCAAAACUUUGGUUCCGUGACGCUUCACUUAGCAUCACUUAGGUAAGAAAGCACCUCAGGCCGCAGUCAAUUAAUCUAAACGCGGAGUCAGAAAUGACAUUCUGCCUCCUCGCCGGCGCGCUGUCGUAGUGAUGCGCGGCCCCCCGAAGUUUGUUCAAUAAAGCACGACGAUUCCUCAAGCGAGAAUGUGUUUGUGCUCAUAAACUCCAAAUGGAUCGGGAAUGGGUCGGUGUGUCGUACAUGUCUCCAGUGCGUUCUUGCAGUGCAGUGAGAAUGCGUACUUUUUUUUUUUUUUCGUAUCGCCAAACGUCUAGCUCGCAAGACCGUCUGAGAGCCCCAAGAGGUUCAAGCAGAGAAAAGCAAGUAGAAGGCAGCGAUAAAGAGUCACGGCCUCUCGAUGGAAGCGCACAGAUGCGGCCUGCCGUAUGCGGCGGAGACGGCGUAGCUCGCCUAGUGUUCCGGGUCACCGCAGCGGCGCCACCAGAAGGGGAGAGCAGCCGGAGAUAUGCCGGAGCGUGACAGCGCAGCUCGCAUGCUCUCGCCGCUACUUAAAGGGCGAUAAUAAAUUGUUUAUAUUGUUAA